UGCCCUCUCUUUAAAUACCGACUCAUGCCUCAUAACUCAAUUUUUUGCAAUCCCUCAAGCACUCGUGAAAACAAAAACCAGAGAAACAAAAGUCAAUUUCCGAUGUUGGUUCCCAUCUACUUUCGGCUUGACCGAAAUACCAUCAAACAACUUCCGAAACCACCGCAAAAAACACCGUCUCAUAGUUUGCAGUACUCUCUUCGCAUCCGGUUUGUAAAUUCUGAAAACCGUCAGUAAACGGAGAGUACGCAAAUCGUGAGGAUACCCACUAGUGUUCGUGUUCGUGUGCGUAAUUUGUGAGACUUGCUUAUCAAGGUAUGCGUGGCACGUCAUGAGCGACCGUUUCACAACACUAGUAGCAAGUUAUUAAUGACGUAGAUCACCUAAAGACAAUCAGUUGGGUUUUAUUUAAUUCAGUUGUAACGACAUUUUGGGUAGUUGGUUUAAGUUAUUUAAUUAUGAUAAUGUUGGUUUAUUUAUAAAGGUUGGA
Molecule: long non-coding RNA, 490 nt
Organism: Spinacia oleracea (spinach)
Lineage: Eukaryota; Viridiplantae; Streptophyta; Magnoliopsida; Caryophyllales; Amaranthaceae
Exons: 3
Source: RefSeq, a predicted model, not a curated record